UAAACAGCUUUGAAGGGUCGGAGUAGGUACUGUUUUACUUUUUAGAGAGCUGAUGGCAGGUGGAAAUCAGUAGGGAAGCAGUAUUCGAAUUACAGCCUGGAGCCAAUUCUUGCGUAGCAAGAACGGUCAUACCGUUAUCAUGUUGAGUGGAAGUUUAUUUAGUGAUAGCUUCAACAAGGGUGGUACCGCGAGAACCUCGUCCCUUUU
RNAcentral lists this non-coding RNA (207 nucleotides) under Alkalihalophilus pseudofirmus. RNAcentral describes it as "Bacillus pseudofirmus T-box sequence". It matches the Rfam family "T-box leader". From Rfam's summary of the family: Uncharged tRNA acts as the effector for transcription antitermination of genes in the T-box leader family. T-boxes are found upstream of many aminoacyl-tRNA synthetase genes and some amino acid biosynthetic genes usually in Gram-positive bacteria. The anticodon of a specific tRNA base pairs to a specifier sequence within the T-box motif, and the NCCA acceptor tail of the tRNA base pairs to a conserved bulge in the T-box antiterminator hairpin. Lineage: Bacteria; Bacillati; Bacillota; Bacilli; Caryophanales; Bacillaceae. The record is from RNAcentral.